CCCUGGUUAGCUGAGUUGGUAGAGCGCUCCACUUGUAAUGGAGAGGUCCCGGGUUCGAUACCCGGACCAGGAG
Molecule: transfer RNA, 73 nt
Filed under: Ixodes scapularis (black-legged tick)
Lineage: Eukaryota; Metazoa; Arthropoda; Arachnida; Ixodida; Ixodidae
Rfam family: tRNA
About the family: Transfer RNA (tRNA) molecules are approximately 80 nucleotides in length.
Source: Rfam by way of RNAcentral